GGCAUGGAUUAGGCAUGCAAGUCGAACGGUAUGUACCUUUCGGGGUACAGAGAGUGGCGAACGGGUGAGUAACGCGUAGGUGAUCUACCUUCAAGUGGGGGACAACCCGGGGAAACUCGGGCUAAUACCGCAUGUGGCAGUGAUGCUAAAGCCGGCCUCUGAAUAUGCUGGUGCUUGGAGAUGAGCCUGCGUCUGAUUAGCUAGUUGGUGGGGUAACGGCCUACCAAGGCGAUGAUAAGUAGGCGGCUUUAACGAGUGGCCGCCCACACUGGGAUUGAGAUACGGCCCAGACUCCUACGGGAGGCAGCAGUCGAGGAUAGUCUACAAUGGUCGAAAGAUUGAUAGUGCGACGCCGCGUGAACGAAGAAGCAUUUCGGUGUGUAAAGUUCUUUUCCAUGAGAGCAGGACAUGGGUGGUUAACAGCGACCUGUGUUUGAUAUUAUUAUGGGAAUAAGCCACGGCUAACUCCGUGCCAGCAGCCGCGGUAAUACGGGGGUGGCAAGCGUUGUCCGGAAUUACUAGGCGUAAAGGGCAGGCAGGCGGUCAUAUGAGUUAAUCGUUAAAGACCCGUGCUCACCAUGGGGAGGGCGGUUGAUACUGUAUGACUGGAAGCGAGUGGGGGAAGAUGGAAUUCCUGGUGUAGCGGUGGAAUGCGCAGAUAUCAGGAGGAACACCAAAGGCGAAGGCAGUCUUCUACGCUUGUCUUGACGCUCAACUGCGAAGGUGCGGGUAUCAAACAGGAUUAGAUACCCUGGUAGUCCGCACAGUAAACGAUAAUCACUAGGUGUCGGUGGGAUAUGCCUGUCGGUGCCGUAGCUAACGCGAUAAGUGAUUCCCCUGGGAGUACGAUCGCAGGCUGAACUCAAGGGAAUUGACGGGGGCUCACACAAGCGGUG
This 896-nucleotide ribosomal RNA is filed under the name uncultured bacterium. RNAcentral describes it as "bacterial SSU rRNA". It matches the Rfam family "Bacterial small subunit ribosomal RNA", at positions 41 to 934 of the family's 1533-position model. The record is from RNAcentral.